RNAcentral lists this ribosomal RNA (353 nucleotides) under uncultured Pseudomonadota bacterium. RNAcentral's name for it is "bacterial SSU rRNA". It matches the Rfam family "Bacterial small subunit ribosomal RNA", at positions 471 to 823 of the family's 1533-position model. Lineage: Bacteria; Pseudomonadati; Pseudomonadota. The record is from RNAcentral.
GACGGUACCCGAAGAAUAAGCCCCGGCUAACUUCGUGCCAGCAGCCGCGGUAAUACUAAGGGGGCUAGCGUUGUUCGGAAUUACUGGGCGUAAAGGGUGCGUAAGCGGUUCGUUAAGUCAGGUGUGAAAUCCCCGGGCUCAACUCGGAGGCUGCCUUCGAGACUGGACGGCUUGAGUGCGGGAGAGGUGAGUGGAAUUCCCGGUGUAGAGGUGAAAUGCGUAGAUAUUGGGAAGAACACCAGUGGCGAAGGCGGCUCACUGGACCGUUACUGACGCUGAGGCACUAAAGCGUGGGGAGCAAACAGGAUUAGAUACCCUGGUAGUCCACGCCAUAAACGAUGCUUGCUUGCCGU